This 329-nucleotide unclassified non-coding RNA is filed under the name soil metagenome. RNAcentral's name for it is "partial contains 5.8S ribosomal RNA, internal transcribed spacer 2, and large subunit ribosomal RNA". The stretch from base 1 to 120 matches the Rfam family "5.8S ribosomal RNA", at positions 35 to 154 of the family's 154-position model. The record is from RNAcentral.
GAUGAAGAACGUAGCGAAAUGCGAUAAGUAAUGUGAAUUGCAGAAUUCAGUGAAUCAUCUAAUCUUUGAACGCACAUUGCGCCCUCUGGUAUUCCGGGGGGCAUGCCUGUUCGAGCGUCAUUAUAACCACUCAAGCUCUCGCUUGGUAUUGGGGUUCGCGGUUUCGCGGCCCCUAAAAUCAGUGGCGGUGCCUGUCGGCUCUACGCGUAGUAAUACUUCUCGCGAUUGAGUUCGAUAGGUCUACUUGCCAGUAACCCCCAAUUUUUACAGGUUGACCUCGGAUCAGGUAGGGAUACCCGCUGAACUUAAGCAUAUCAAUAAGCGGAGGA